Lagopus muta (rock ptarmigan) is the source of this 157-nucleotide long non-coding RNA. RefSeq lists it as uncharacterized. NCBI's taxonomy places the organism in Eukaryota, Metazoa, Chordata, Aves, Galliformes, Phasianidae. The record is from RefSeq and is a predicted model, not a curated record. The transcript is spliced from 3 exons.
GAUUAUUGCCUAUCUGAGGUCAUCUGAAGCUGUGAAGUAGAGGAUCAAAGGAAACAGUAAUUAAUGUAACUAAAAUAUUUACCUUUAUCCUCUGGAAAGAACUCAAAGCUGUUAAAUCUUCUUAAGCUGAUGCAAAGAAUUCCAGACCCCUUCCCAG